Molecule: transfer RNA, 69 nt
Filed under: Rattus norvegicus (Norway rat)
Lineage: Eukaryota; Metazoa; Chordata; Mammalia; Rodentia; Muridae
Rfam family: tRNA
About the family: Transfer RNA (tRNA) molecules are approximately 80 nucleotides in length. Their secondary structure includes four short double-helical elements and three loops (D, anti-codon, and T loops).
Source: Rfam by way of RNAcentral
GGGGAUUUAGCUCAAUGGUAGAGCACUUGCCUAGCAAGCUCAAGGUCCUGGGUUCAAUCCCCAGCUCCG